This 460-nucleotide ribosomal RNA is filed under the name uncultured bacterium. RNAcentral describes it as "partial 16S ribosomal RNA". It matches the Rfam family "Bacterial small subunit ribosomal RNA", at positions 338 to 795 of the family's 1533-position model. The record is from RNAcentral.
CCUACGGGAGGCAGCAGUGAGGAAUAUUGGUCAAUGGACGAGAGUCUGAACCAGCCAAGUAGCGUGAAGGAUGACUGCCCUAUGGGUUGUAAACUUCUUUUAUAAAGGGAUAAAACGAGGCACGUGUGCCUUUUUGCAUGUACUUUAUGAAUAAGGAUCGGAUAACUCCGUGCCAGCAGCCGCGGUAAUACGGAGGAUCCGAGCGUUAUCCGGAUUUAUUGGGUUUAAAGGGAGCGUAGAUGGGUUGUUAAGUCAGUUGUGAAAGUUUGGGGCUCAACCGUAAAACUGCAAUUGAUACUGGCAGUCUUGAGUACAGUAGAGGUAGGUGGAAUUCGUGGUGUAGCGGUGAAAUGCUUAGAUAUCACGAAGAACACCGAUUGCGAAGGCAGCUUACUAGACUGAGACUGACAUUGAUGCUCGAAAGUGUGGGGAGCAAACAGGAUUAGAUACCCGGGUAGUC